Molecule: ribosomal RNA, 385 nt
Filed under: uncultured bacterium
Lineage: Bacteria
Description: bacterial SSU rRNA
Rfam family: Bacterial small subunit ribosomal RNA
Source: RNAcentral
GACGAACGCUGGCGGCGUGCUUAACACAUGCAAGUCGAGCGGUAAGGCUCCUUCGGGAGUACACGAGCGGCGAACGGGUGAGUAACACGUGAGCAAUCUGCCCUUCACUUUGGGAUAACCCCGGGAACCGGGCUAUACCGAAUGCGACCACCGAUGGCAUCGUCUGGUGGUGGAAAGUUCCGGCGGUGAAGGAUGAGCUCGCGGCCUAUCAGCUUGUUGGUGGGGUAACGGCCCACCAAGGCAUUGACGGGUAGCCGGCCUGAGAGGGUGACCGGCCACACUGGGGACUGAGACACGGCCCAGACUCCUACGGGAGGCAGCAGUGGGGAAUAUUGGACAAUGGGCGAAAGCCUGAUCCAGCAACGCCGCGUGAGGGAUGACGGCC